Sitodiplosis mosellana (orange wheat blossom midge) is the source of this 313-nucleotide long non-coding RNA. RefSeq lists it as uncharacterized. NCBI's taxonomy places the organism in Eukaryota, Metazoa, Arthropoda, Insecta, Diptera, Cecidomyiidae. The record is from RefSeq and is a predicted model, not a curated record. The transcript is spliced from 3 exons.
GCCGUUUCCUAUUUGAAAACUGAACAACUGCAGCUCACGUAAUCAUCCAAACACACUUUCGUGACACUGUUGAACAUUAUGAACAGAACAUUGACUCAGUGUUAAUAGCAAACAAAAAGGUGAAUCAACAUUUGUGCAGUGGACGUGUAAUUAUGUUCGAUAGAAGCCAUUGCGAAAUGGUUUUGCCAUUAUCUAAACACGCCUUUAUGAUGGUUGCCACGUUUGAUAAGCAAGGUAAAGGUUGAAAUCGGUCAUUCAGCGAAAUGGAACCUGUGCAGAGGAGAAAGAAAUAGCACCAGAAAAACGAAGGUAA